GGCGAUCAGAUACCGCCCUAGUUCAGACCGUAAACGAUGCCAUCUGGCGAUCCACCGGCGUUAUGUAUGACUCGGUGGGCAGCCACCGGUAAACCUUUAAGUCAGGUUCCGGGGGAAGUAUGGUUGCAAAGCUGAAACUUAAAGGAAUUGACGGAAGGGCACCACCAGGAGUGGAGCCUGCGGCUUAAUUUGACUCAACACGGGGAAACUCACCCGGCCCGGACACCGUAAGGAUUGACAGAUUGAUAGCUCUUUCUUGAUUCGGUGGGUGGUGGUGCAUGGCCGUUCUUAGUUGGUGGAGCGAUUUGUCUGGUUUAUUCCGAUAACGAACGAGACUCUAGCCUACUAAAUAGACAGUACUUCCUUAGAGUGCUGCGCUUCUUAGAGGGACAAGCGACUUCUAGUCGCACGAGAUUGAGCAAUAACAGGUCUGUGAUGCCCUUAGAUGUUCGGGGCUGCACGCGCGCUACACUGAAGGCAUCAUCAUGUCUAUCAGCCUACCCCGGAAGGGGCGGGUAACCCGAUGAAACGCCUUCGUGAUUGGGAUAGGGAAUUGCAAUUAUUUCCCUUGAACGAGGAAUUCCCAGUAAGUGCGGGUCAUCAGCUCGCGCUGAUUACGUCCCUGCCCUUUGUA
This 634-nucleotide ribosomal RNA is filed under the name Trichodorus cf. proximus Konza IAC-11. Its description in RNAcentral is "SSU rRNA". It matches the Rfam family "Eukaryotic small subunit ribosomal RNA", at positions 1003 to 1664 of the family's 1831-position model. Lineage: Eukaryota; Metazoa; Nematoda; Enoplea; Triplonchida; Trichodoridae. The record is from RNAcentral.